UACGCCCCGGAGUUCGUGCCAGGAGUGCGUUUGCAAAUCUCGCGCAAGUUUGCGUUUGCAAAGUUGACAAUGUAAAUGCACUAUCUGGUACGACACCCCGGGGCGA
Molecule: microRNA precursor, 106 nt
Filed under: Operophtera brumata (winter moth)
Lineage: Eukaryota; Metazoa; Arthropoda; Insecta; Lepidoptera; Geometridae
Description: mir-277 microRNA precursor family
Rfam family: mir-277 microRNA precursor family
Source: Rfam by way of RNAcentral